RNAcentral lists this ribosomal RNA (483 nucleotides) under uncultured bacterium. RNAcentral's name for it is "partial 16S ribosomal RNA". It matches the Rfam family "Bacterial small subunit ribosomal RNA", at positions 30 to 507 of the family's 1533-position model. The record is from RNAcentral.
UUGAACGCUGGCGGCAGGCCUAACACAUGCAAGUCGAGCGGAUGAAGGGAGCUUGCUCCUGGAUUCAGCGGCGGACGGGUGAGUAAUGCCUAGGAAUCUGCCUGGUAGUGGGGGAUAACGUCCGGAAACGGGCGAUAAUACCGCAUACGUCCUGAGGGAGAAAGUGGGGGAUCUUCGGACCUCACGCUAUCAGAUGAGCCUAGGUCGGAUUAGCUAGUUGGUGGGGUAAAGGCCUACCAAGGCGACGAUCCGUAACUGGUCUGAGAGGAUGAUCAGUCACACUGGAACUGAGACACGGUCCAGACUCCUACGGGAGGCAGCAGUGGGGAAUAUUGGACAAUGGGCGAAAGCCUGAUCCAGCCAUGCCGCGUGUGUGAAGAAGGUCUUCGGAUUGUAAAGCACUUUAAGUUGGGAGGAAGGGCAGUAAGUUAAUACCUUGCUGUUUUGACGUUACCAACAGAAUAAGCACCGGCUAACUUCGUG